This 322-nucleotide ribosomal RNA is filed under the name Escherichia coli. Its description in RNAcentral is "partial 23S ribosomal RNA". It matches the Rfam family "Bacterial large subunit ribosomal RNA", at positions 2609 to 2925 of the family's 2925-position model. Lineage: Bacteria; Pseudomonadati; Pseudomonadota; Gammaproteobacteria; Enterobacterales; Enterobacteriaceae. The record is from RNAcentral.
GUUUAGAACGUCGUGAGACAGUUCGGUCCCUAUCUGCCGUGGGCGCUGGAGAACUGAGGGGGGCUGCUCCUAGUACGAGAGGACCGGAGUGGACGCAUCACUGGUGUUCGGGUUGUCAUGCCAAUGGCACUGCCCGGUAGCUAAAUGCGGAAGAGAUAAGUGCUGAAAGCAUCUAAGCACGAAACUUGCCCCGAGAUGAGUUCUCCCUGACUCCUUGAGAGUCCUGAAGGAACGUUGAAGACGACGACGUUGAUAGGCCGGGUGUGUAAGCGCAGCGAUGCGUUGAGCUAACCGGUACUAAUGAACCGUGAGGCUUAACCUU